This 816-nucleotide long non-coding RNA is filed under the name Homo sapiens (human). RNAcentral's name for it is "MIR210 host gene". Lineage: Eukaryota; Metazoa; Chordata; Mammalia; Primates; Hominidae. The record is from RNAcentral.
CGCGGGGCCCGGGGCCGGUCGGGUCGGGCCGGGGGGCGAGAGGGUGCCAGCGGCCGCAGCUGAAGUUGGGCCGAGAGCCGGCGACGGCCCCGCGCCGGGGUCGCAGGGUACCAGUGUGCGGAGUUCCUGUUGCCAAGCUGAAGGUGGCCCUGGGCAGGCACAGGUGUGGUCAUAUCUUCAGCCAACAGGACCAUCCUCCGGAGGGCCACCUCUGGGGACUUCCUACGGGAAGAGAGUGACAGAUUUGGUGCUUCUGUGUGUUUCUGCCGCUUCAGUGGGGCCGCUGCGGGAGACAGCGGGUGGAUCCUCCAGCAGCCUGUCUGCUGAGCCUGCCUUCUCAAGUCUACUGUUAAAAUCAGGACCGGGUCGUGUCCGAGCCUACAGGCCCUGUCUCCGCUCCCCAGGCCUGCAGGAGUUGAGGGCUGCACCUGCUCGCUGGAGAGGGAGAGGCAGAUUUAGUGGACGCCUGGCAUGGACUCGGACUGGCCUUUGGAAGCUCCCUGCCCUGACGGGGUUGCCUGUCACCACUGCGAAGUGAGGCUUGGCAGGACCUGCACCUGAGAAAGGCUGUGUGUGGUCUUGGGGUCCACACCUGCAGAGCUAACUUACUGCCAGACGGCGACUUACUGUGGGCCACCCUCAGUGAACCGGGGUGUCCUCAGCUGGCCCUACAGAGCACUUCUGUGCUGGGGAUGAGUAGGAACUCUGGGCGAGGAGGGUCCCAGCGCCGCCCCUCGAUACAGCCUGGCUCUGCCCUCUGCCCGUACUUACACCAGGUGGGAUCCCUGCCCUGCAUUGCCUGGGGAUUGGCUGGGC